GGAGUUAGCCGGUGCUUCUUCUGUGAGUGAUGUCCUUCCUGCCGGCUAUUAACCCGCAGGCCUUCUUCCUCACUGAAAGUGCUUUACAACCCGAAGGCCUUCUUCACACACGCGGCAUGGCUGGAUCAGGGUUGCCCCCAUUGUCCAAUAUUCCCCACUGCUGCCUCCCGUAGGAGUCUGGGCCGUGUCUCAGUCCCAGUGUGGCUGAUCAUCCUCUCAGACCAGCUACGGAUCGUCGCCUUGGUGAGCCGUUACCUCACCAACCAGCUAAUCCGACAUAGGCUCAUCCGAUAGCGCGAGGCCCGAAGGUCCCCCGCUUUCCCCCGUAGGGCGUAUGCGGUAUUAGCCUGGGUUUCCCCAGGUUAUCCCCCACUACCGGGCAGAUUCCUAUGCAUUACUCACCCGUCCGCCGCUCGCCACCAGGGAGCAAGCUCCCCGUGCUGCCGCUCGACUUGCNUGUGUAGCUCGCCGCCACGCGUCAUCUGAGCCAUAAUACAACUACUCGA
Molecule: ribosomal RNA, 506 nt
Filed under: uncultured bacterium
Lineage: Bacteria
Description: partial 16S ribosomal RNA
Source: RNAcentral